RNAcentral lists this transfer RNA (65 nucleotides) under Paeonia lactiflora (Chinese peony). RNAcentral describes it as "tRNA-Val". It matches the Rfam family "tRNA". Rfam says of the family: Transfer RNA (tRNA) molecules are approximately 80 nucleotides in length. Their secondary structure includes four short double-helical elements and three loops (D, anti-codon, and T loops). Further hydrogen bonds mediate the characteristic L-shaped molecular structure. tRNAs have two regions of fundamental functional importance: the anti-codon, which is responsible for specific mRNA codon recognition, and the 3' end, to which the tRNAs corresponding amino acid is attached (by aminoacyl-tRNA synthetases). tRNAs cope with the degeneracy of the genetic code in two manners: having more than one tRNA (with a specific anti-codon) for a particular amino acid; and 'wobble' base-pairing, i.e. permitting non-standard base-pairing at the 3rd anti-codon position. RNAcentral also lists the same sequence under 1 other name. The record is from RNAcentral. Lineage: Eukaryota; Viridiplantae; Streptophyta; Magnoliopsida; Saxifragales; Paeoniaceae.
AGGGCUAUAGCUCAGUUAGGUAGAGCACCUCGUUUACCUACGGUUCGAGUCCGUAUAGCCCUACC